GAGAAAGUACUGCAUGAACUGCUAACUCUGCAUCCCCUACAUAAAAGUAUGGCUUUCUCA
RNAcentral lists this transfer RNA (60 nucleotides) under Varecia variegata (ruffed lemur). RNAcentral's name for it is "tRNA-Ser". RNAcentral also lists the same sequence under 2 other names. The record is from RNAcentral. Lineage: Eukaryota; Metazoa; Chordata; Mammalia; Primates; Lemuridae.